GCCCUUGUAGCUCAGUCGGUAGAGCACCACCAUGGUAAGGUGGGGGUCAGCGGUUCAAAUCCGCUCGAGGGCU
This 73-nucleotide transfer RNA is filed under the name Spirochaetales bacterium. Its description in RNAcentral is "tRNA-Thr". It matches the Rfam family "tRNA". From Rfam's summary of the family: Transfer RNA (tRNA) molecules are approximately 80 nucleotides in length. The record is from RNAcentral. Lineage: Bacteria; Pseudomonadati; Spirochaetota; Spirochaetia; Spirochaetales. RNAcentral also lists the same sequence under 2 other names.